GUUCGGGCAGGCGGAGCGGCGGGGCCGGGCUGUGGCGCCGCCGGGACCGCGGGGCGAGGGGCGGAGGAGGGCGGUGUAUCCAGUUUCCUGUGAAAUGCUGAAGGGCAAACCUGGAGAAGGGAGAUGAAAUCCCUCUGCUUUUAUCCCAGCAGGGAGGAAGUGGGGAGCAGUUUGUGUGGUGCCAUCUCAGCCCAGCUCUGGGGGGUUGAGUUACCCAAAGGUUGGGAUGAAGCUGCAGAGCUGGAAAUACCCAGAUGUGAAGAUCCAGGAUAGCUGCUGCUUUGACUUCCCCAUCUUCAGAAGGAGGAGCUGUGGGGUCCCAGCAGUGGGACGAUGAGGAGGAUGCAGCAGCAGGUACGAAAGAGGUUUUAUUGGAGCUGCAGCUCCUGUUUUAAAUUGCUGUGGGGGUAAUUGAGUGACUCCCUCUCCCUGUAUCCCUUUCCAUGCCCUGUGCCAAGGCUGGCAGUGGACAGGGGUGACUGCUUUGAAGUGCUCUCCUGCUUUCUGGAUGAUUCACACUGGUAGGAGAGGCUUCCUGCCUUUCCAUGACUUAGGGAAAAGCUCCAUUUCAUAAUGUCUCCUUACUCUUAGCAGGGCUUGUGCUCUGUUCCCAAAACUCCCACUGUUUUCACUGCAGGCAUGACCAGACUGUGAAACAGCUUGGCUGGUCUGGUGAAUAAUCUGUGAGUCUCUUUUAAUAAACUGCAGUUUUAUUUAUCUUGCUGCUCUUUAGAGCUUUUCAUCUCCAAACAUUCAAGUGCAGAAACUGUCCAGCAGUGAAACUCAGCCGUGUCUCUUGGGGAUAGAGUGGGAGGCAGACAGGCAGGCAUUUUUUUACUCCACAGUUUGGAGUGAGAGGAAUUUUGUUCAAGGACAAUGAGGGAAAGCUUAGCUUGUGUGCCGAGUGACCCUUUGAUCUUCCACGUUCAUGCUCAGCUGAUCAGGACUUUAAAUCUAAGCUCUGUCUCCCUCCUCCCCACAGCAAACA
Long non-coding RNA from Myiozetetes cayanensis, 988 nucleotides. RefSeq lists it as uncharacterized. The transcript is spliced from 4 exons. Lineage: Eukaryota; Metazoa; Chordata; Aves; Passeriformes; Tyrannidae. The record is from RefSeq and is a predicted model, not a curated record.